AGCGAACGCUGGCGGCAGGCUUAACACAUGCAAGUCGAACGCUCACCUUCGGGUGGGAGUGGCAGACGGGUGAGUAACACGUGGGAACGUGCCCUUCGGUUCGGGAUAACCCUGGGAAACUAGGGCUAAUACCGGAUACGUCCGAGAGGAGAAAGGUUUACUGCCGAAGGAUCGGCCCGCGUCUGAUUAGCUAGUUGGUGGGGUAACGGCCUACCAAGGCGACGAUCAGUAGCGGGUCUGAGAGGAUGAUCAGCCACACUGGGACUGAGACACGGCCCAGACUCCUACGGGAGGCAGCAGUGGGGAAUAUUGGACAAUGGGCGCAAGCCUGAUCCAGCCAUGCCGCGUGAGUGAUGAAGGCCUUAGGGUUGUAAAGCUCUUUUGUCCGGGACGAUAAUGACGGUACCGGAAGAAUAAGCCCCGGCUAACUUCGUGCCAGCCGCCGCAGUAA
This 451-nucleotide ribosomal RNA is filed under the name uncultured bacterium. Its description in RNAcentral is "partial 16S ribosomal RNA". It matches the Rfam family "Bacterial small subunit ribosomal RNA", at positions 29 to 523 of the family's 1533-position model. The record is from RNAcentral.